Long non-coding RNA from Cynoglossus semilaevis (tongue sole), 360 nucleotides. RefSeq lists it as uncharacterized. Lineage: Eukaryota; Metazoa; Chordata; Actinopteri; Pleuronectiformes; Cynoglossidae. The transcript has 2 exons. The record is from RefSeq and is a predicted model, not a curated record.
AACUUUUACUGUUCAAUCUGUUCUGGACAAAACAUAAAGAUGUGUCUUGGUUUUAUAUCAGAAAUAUAAUCAUCUAUCAUGUCCGAAGAAAACAUUAUUUCUUUUAAUCGCCCUGUCCCUCAGUCUGUGGCAGAUAGAGAGGGAAGAAAAUGUCUCUUCGUUAUCAAAUGCAUUGAUAGAAGCUUUGAAAUCAGUGCAUCAGAUAAAAAGAAGAAACAGGAAUGGAUUCAAGUUAUUGAAAUGUGCCUCUUGCAUAUACGGCUGGGGCUGCAGUCUCCUCAUCGUGACGCUCGACUACGGCGCAGGGGGCUCAGGCAACAAAAACAGGCAGAGGAGGAAUUCUUGGUGGAGACUAUGAAG